This 253-nucleotide ribosomal RNA is filed under the name uncultured bacterium. RNAcentral describes it as "partial 16S ribosomal RNA". It matches the Rfam family "Bacterial small subunit ribosomal RNA", at positions 524 to 776 of the family's 1533-position model. The record is from RNAcentral.
UACAGAGGGGGCAAGCGUUGUUCGGAAUUACUGGGCGUAAAGGGCGCGUAGGCGGCCUGUUAAGUCGAACGUGAAAUCCCCGGGCUCAACCCGGGAACUGCGUCCGAUACUGGCAGGCUUGAAUCCGGGAGAGGGAUGCGGAAUUCCAGGUGUAGCGGUGAAAUGCGUAGAUAUCGGAAGGAACAUCAGUGGCGAAAGCGGCUGCCUGGCCAAAUACUGACGCUCAUGUGCGAAAGCGUGGGGAGCAAACAGG